This 264-nucleotide ribosomal RNA is filed under the name uncultured bacterium. Its description in RNAcentral is "partial 16S ribosomal RNA". It matches the Rfam family "Bacterial small subunit ribosomal RNA", at positions 793 to 1055 of the family's 1533-position model. The record is from RNAcentral.
GUCCACGCCCUAAACGAUGUCAACUGGGUGUUGGGGAAGUGAUUCCUUGGUACCGUAGCUAACGCGUGAAGUUGACCGCCUGGGGAGUACGGCCGCAAGGUUAAAACUCAAAGGAAUUGACGGGGACCCGCACAAGCGGUGGAUGAUGUGGAUUAAUUCGAUGCAACGCGAACAACCUUACCUACCCUUGACAUGUCCGGAACCCUGCUGAGAGGUGGGGGUGCCCGAAAGGGAAUCGGAACACAGGUGCUGCAUGGCUGUCGU